Molecule: small nuclear RNA, 123 nt
Filed under: Xenopus laevis (African clawed frog)
Lineage: Eukaryota; Metazoa; Chordata; Amphibia; Anura; Pipidae
Description: U2 spliceosomal RNA
Rfam family: U2 spliceosomal RNA
About the family: U2 is a small nuclear RNA (snRNA) component of the spliceosome (involved in pre-mRNA splicing). Complementary binding between U2 snRNA (in an area lying towards the 5' end but 3' to hairpin I) and the branchpoint sequence (BPS) of the intron results the bulging out of an unpaired adenosine, on the BPS, which initiates a nucleophilic attack at the intronic 5' splice site, thus starting the first of two transesterification reactions that mediate splicing.
Source: Rfam by way of RNAcentral
UUUGCUUUUAUCCCUUUUGGCUUAGAUCAAGUGUAGUAUCUGUUCUUAUCAGCGGGUGGGAUAUCUCCUAGAUAAAGGAUAUAUGGGAGUCUCCAUGCAUUGGUAGAUGGCAGAGAACCACUU